GAUGAACGCUAGCGGCAGGCCUAACACAUGCAAGUCGAGGGAGAGGUUACCUUCGGGUAACCAAAACCGGCGCACGGGUGCGUAACGCGUAUACAAUCUGCCUUUCACAUAGGGAUAGCCCGAAGAAAUUUGGAUUAAUACCUAAUGGUAUAUAAGAGCGGCAUCGUUUUUAUAUUAAAGCUACGGUGGUGCAAGAUGAGUAUGCGUUCUAUUAGCUAGUUGGAGAGGUAACGGCUCCCCAAGGCGACGAUAGAUAGGGGUUCUGAGAGGGAUGUCCCCCACACUGGUACUGAGAUACGGACCAGACUCCUACGGGAGGCAGCAGUGAGGAAUAUUGGACAAUGGUCGGAAGACUGAUCCAGCCAUGCCGCGUGCAGGAUGAAGGUCAUAUGGAUUGUAAACUGCUUUUGUAAGGGAAGAAUAAGGAGUACGUGUACUUUGAUGACGGUACCUUACGAAUAAGCAUCGGCUAACUCCGUG
RNAcentral lists this ribosomal RNA (480 nucleotides) under uncultured bacterium. RNAcentral describes it as "partial 16S ribosomal RNA". It matches the Rfam family "Bacterial small subunit ribosomal RNA", at positions 28 to 507 of the family's 1533-position model. The record is from RNAcentral.